AGAGUUUGAUCCUGGCUCAGGAUGAACGCCGGCGGUGUGCCUAAUACAUGCAAGUCGUACGCACUGGCCCAGCUGAUUGACGGUGCUUGCACCAGAUUGACGCUGGAUACCCAGUGAGUGGCGGACGGGUGAGUAACACGUGGGUAACCUGCCCCGGAGCGGGGGAUAACAUUUGGAAACAGAUGCUAAUACCGCAUAACAACGAAAACCACAUGGUUUUCGUUUGAAAGAUGGCAUAUGCUAUCACUCUGGGAUGGACCCGCGGUGCAUUAGCUAGUUGGUAAGGUAACGGCUUACCAAGGCGAUGAUGCAUAGCCGAGUUGAGAGACUGAUCGGCCACAAUGGAACUGAGACACGGUCCAUACUCCUACGGGAGGCAGCAGUAGGGAAUCUUCCACAAUGGGCGCAAGCCUGAUGGAGCAACACCGCGUGAGUGAAGAAGGGUUUCGGCUCGUAAAGCUCUGUUGUUGGAGAAGAACGUACCUGAGAGUAACUGUUCAGGUAGUGACGGUAUCCAACCAGAAAGUCACGGCUAACUACGUGCCAGCAGCCGCGGU
RNAcentral lists this ribosomal RNA (557 nucleotides) under uncultured bacterium. RNAcentral's name for it is "bacterial SSU rRNA". It matches the Rfam family "Bacterial small subunit ribosomal RNA", at positions 8 to 521 of the family's 1533-position model. The record is from RNAcentral.